This 253-nucleotide ribosomal RNA is filed under the name uncultured bacterium. RNAcentral's name for it is "partial 16S ribosomal RNA". It matches the Rfam family "Bacterial small subunit ribosomal RNA", at positions 524 to 776 of the family's 1533-position model. The record is from RNAcentral.
GACAGAGGAUGCAAGCGUUAUCCGGAUUGAUUGGGCGUAAAGAGUUCGUAGGUUACUUUCCAAGUCUUUUGUUAAAGGCUAUAGCUUAACUUUAGUUCGGCAAGAGAAACUCGAAAGUUUGAGUACGAUAGGGGCAGUGGGAAUUCCCGGUGUAGCGGUGAAAUGCGUAGAGCUCGGGAAGAACACCAGAAGCGAAGGCGCAUUGCUGGGUUGAUACUGACACUGAAGAACGAAAGCUAGGGGAGCAAAUGGG